This 373-nucleotide ribosomal RNA is filed under the name uncultured eukaryote. RNAcentral describes it as "partial 18S ribosomal RNA". It matches the Rfam family "Eukaryotic small subunit ribosomal RNA", at positions 592 to 976 of the family's 1831-position model. The record is from RNAcentral.
CAAUAGCGUAUAUUAAAGUUGUUGCAGUUAAAAAGCUCGUAGUUGGAUUUCUGGGAGGGUGCCAAUGUCCGCCGACGUGCGUGCGCAGCGGCGCCCUUCCAUCCUUCUGUUAACGCCUCUUGGCAUUCAUUUGCUGGUGGCGGGCUCAGAUAUUUUACCUUGAGAAAAUUAGGGUGUUUCAGGCAGGCUAGGCCGGAAUACAUUAGCAUGGAAUAAUGGAAUAGGACUACGGUCUCUUUGUUGGUUUGAGGGACUGCAGUAAUGAUUAAUAGGGAUAGUUGGGGGCAUUAGUAUUUAAUUGUCAGAGGUGGAAUUCUCGGAUUUGUUAAAGACUAACUUAUGCGAAAGCAUUUGCCAAGGAUGUUUUCAUUAA